RNAcentral lists this ribosomal RNA (441 nucleotides) under uncultured bacterium. RNAcentral describes it as "partial 16S ribosomal RNA". It matches the Rfam family "Bacterial small subunit ribosomal RNA", at positions 339 to 795 of the family's 1533-position model. The record is from RNAcentral.
CUACGGGGGGCAGCAGUGGGGAAUAUUGCACAAUGGGCUCAAGCCUGAUGCAGCAACGCCGUGUGAGUGAAGAAGGCCUUCGGGUUGUAAAACUCUGUCCUAAGGGAAGAAACAAAUGACGGUACCUUAGGAGGAAGCCCCGGCUAACUACGUGCCAGCAGCCGCGGUAAUACGUAGGGGGCAAGCGUUAUCCGGAAUCACUGGGCGUAAAUGGUGCGUAGGCGGCCUAUCAAGUCAGAAGUGAAAGGCAUUGGCUCAACCAAUGUAAGCUUUUGAAACUGUUGGGCUUGAGUGCAGGAGAGGUAAGUGGAAUUCCUAGUGUAGAGGUGAAAUUCGUAGAUAUUAGGAGGAACACCAGUGGCGAAGGCGACUUACUGGACUGUAACUGACGCUGAGGCACGAAAGCGUGGGGAGCGAACAGGAUUAGAUACCCUGGUAGUC